This is a small nuclear RNA of Pygocentrus nattereri (red-bellied piranha), 140 nucleotides long. Its record names the gene U1. It matches the Rfam family "U1 spliceosomal RNA". Rfam says of the family: U1 is a small nuclear RNA (snRNA) component of the spliceosome (involved in pre-mRNA splicing). The record is from Ensembl. Lineage: Eukaryota; Metazoa; Chordata; Actinopteri; Characiformes; Serrasalmidae.
AUACUUGAUUUACUGCCCGUCCUUUCACCCCCACCUUCCAACAAAUGCCAUUGCACUUCGGAGGUGCUGACCCUUGCGAUUGUGGGAAUCUCGACUGCAUAAUUUCUGGUAGUGGGGGACUGCGUUCGCACUCUCCCCUG